This 596-nucleotide ribosomal RNA is filed under the name Lutjanus monostigma (onespot snapper). RNAcentral describes it as "partial 16S ribosomal RNA". It matches the Rfam family "Bacterial large subunit ribosomal RNA", at positions 1809 to 2608 of the family's 2925-position model. Lineage: Eukaryota; Metazoa; Chordata; Actinopteri; Lutjaniformes; Lutjanidae. The record is from RNAcentral.
AAAAACAUCGCCUCUUGCAAAAUCAAUGAAUAAGAGGUCCCGCCUGCCCUGUGACUAUAAGUUUAACGGCCGCGGUAUUUUGACCGUGCGAAGGUAGCGCAAUCACUUGUCUUUUAAAUGGAGACCUGUAUGAAUGGCAUAACGAGGGCUUAGCUGUCUCCUAUUUCCAGUCAAUGAAAUUGAUCUCCCCGUGCAGAAGCGGGGAUACGUACAUAAGACGAGAAGACCCUAUGGAGCUUUAGACACCAAGGCAGACCAUGUUAAACAUCCCAAAACUAAAGGACCAAACCAAAUGAUCCCUGCCCUAAUGUCUUUGGUUGGGGCGACCGCGGGGAAACAUAAAACCCCCACGUGGAACGAGAGCACAUCCUCUCACAACCAAGAGCUCCCGCUCUAGUAAACAGAAAUUCUGACCAAUCAGAUCCGGCACAAGCCGAUCAACGGACCGAGUUACCCUAGGGAUAACAGCGCAAUCCCCUUUUAGAGGCCAUAUCGACAAGGGGGUUUACGACCUCGAUGUUGGAUCAGGACAUCCUAAUGGUGCAGCCGCUAUUAAGGGUUCGUUUGUUCAACGAUUAAAGUCCUACGUGAUCUGA